CAGCUGCGCGCCUGGGCCUCCCGCCGCUCCCGGGUGCUGCCGCCUCCGCGCCGCCUCCAUGGCUGCCCUGCGGGUCCCUCGGCCCUGGCUUCCCGAGGAAGAGACCGGCUCGGCUUAGCUGGCCUGGCGGAGGCCGCUACUGGCUUUCCCUGCUGCCCAGGAAAUACAGCAACCUUUGGCUUCAGUCAGCAGCUCCCAAGUUUAUCUUUCUUCCAGCCAAGAGGUUUCCUCCACAGAGGUGAUUUAGAAAACCCCGCUGCCUCUAUCCUGUGGCUCUGCCUUCUUCAACAUGGCUUCCAAGAUGGUCACACCCACCUGCAUUGCACUGGCAGAAGGUGAAAGGCAUAAAUAUCUUGUGUGAGAGGUUUUCAUGGGCCUGGAAUAGCAACAUCAUUUCCAUUCAUAUUCUUUGAUUAGACCUCAGUCAAAUGGCUGUGCCUAACUGCCAUGAAGACUGGACAGUGUAGUCUAUUUGUGUGUCUUGGAAGAAAAGGAGAUAGAUUUGGUGAGCUAACCCAUCUUGCCAGAGUGAGCAUCCAUCAUAUGGUUCUCAAUUUGUGAUAAUGGAUACCUAGGUUGCCCUCACUUUCCCAUCACUUUGAUAAAGCCGUGUGGAAGGUCCUUGUACAUUUCCUCCUAAAAACCUCUGUGAGUUCUCUGUGAUAAACACUAACGUUUGGUUUUACCUAUCUAUCUUUUGCCACUCUGACGUCCAAGUUUAAAAAGUGGUAUCUUGUGAUUGCAUUCCUCUGAUUACUAAUAGAUUUGAGCAUCUCUUCUAUUUUGGGCUUCUGCUUCUGUGAAUAGCUUAUUGUUUUUCUAUGCUGUUCUUUUGCAGGGUUUCCUGUGGCGUUUUCUUUCUUACUGAUCUGCAUCAGUUUUUAUAUAACCUAGAAGAUAAUCACUCUUUUGUUUUAGACACUAUAAAUAGUCUCUCUAAAUCAGACAGCUGCUUUUAACUUGAUCUGCAUUAAACAGAAAUCCUUAAUAGUGACAUAAUCAAAUCCUUCAAAUUUUGGGCUUAUUAUAUUUUCUUGGGGUUUUUUUUUUUUAGGUAUUUUCCUAUUUUAGGUCACAUUUCCUGUAUUUUCUUCUUUUAUGUUACCAUUUCUUUUGUUUACAUUUCAAAUACAGUAUAAAACAAGGAUUUGUUAUUUCUCUGCAUAUAAUAAACUAGUUUUCCUAAACUCAUCUCUAAAUAGUCUAUCAUUUUUCUCUGAUUUCUGAUUUAUCAUCCAUCAAUUUUUCUUGCACACAUGGUUUUAUUUCAGAGCUCUCUUGUUUGUCCAUUAGUGUGUCUAUUCCUGUGUCAUUAUAAUACAGUUUUUGUUUCUAUGGCUUUGCAGUAUGUUUUAUUACACACAUGACAGGCUGGAUUAUGUCAAACUAACCCUACUGCUGAGAGCAACAAUAAACAUUGGGUGAGGGAUGGGGGAAAUUAACUAAAAAGCUUACAGAAGCUCAUAGAGCAACCAAAAGCAGCUAAGACUUCAGAAGCCAAGAUCUGGAGCUCAUUAAGGAAUCCUCAUAUUGACUUUCACUUUUCUUGAGGGGUAUUCUCUAAUUUCUGAAACUGGGAAGAGAGGUCGAGCAAAAACUGUUGAAUGGCUGGGAAGAAAGGUGUUGGCAUUUGAGGCUACCACAGCAAUGGACAUAUUAAGGGUCAAGAUCCCAAAGAGGAAGAAGCCAUGGAGAAGAAAGCCUAAAUUUGUGAGUUUUCCUGCAAGGCAUUUGCCAGUUCCUAAAUCACAUCUGUGUGGGACAUAGCUGAGAAACCAAGCAGAAAUUAAGGCCAACCUAGAAUUCUAUAGCCAUAGGAAUAGCCUUCAGAAAUGAAGGUGCAAUAAAAAUGUUUCAAAUGAACAGAAACUUAAAGAAACUUCAGAAAAAGAAAAAAAAAAAAGAGUAUCUGUGAAUAAUACACUCACAGUAAAAUAAAUACCAAAGGGAAUCCUUCAGGCAGAAGAAAAAUCAUUGCAAAUAGAAUUCAUGACACACUAAUGAGAAGUGGAAAUUUAAUACAAAAGAAAAAAAAAGGAACAAAGAACAAAUGAGAUAAAUAGUAGGAUGAUAGCUUUUAGCCAACUUUUAUCAGUAAUCACAUUACAUAUAAAUGGCUAAAUAGUUCAAUUAAAAGGCUAAGAUUGUCUGGGCACCGUGGCUCAGGCCUAUAAUCCCAACACUUUGGGAGGGCAAAACAGGCGGAUUGCUUGAGCCCAGGAGAUCCAGACUAGCCUAGGCAACAUGGUGAAACCCAAUCUCUAUAAAAAAUACAAAAACUAGCCCAGCAUAGUGGCACAUGCCUGCAGUCCCAGCUACUCCAGAGACUGAGAUGGGAGAAUCACCUGAGCCCAGGAAGUUAAGGCUGCAGUGAGCCAUGAGUGCACCACUGUACACCAGUUUGGGUGGUAGAAUGACACCCUGUCUCAAAAAAAAAAAAAAAAAAAAAGCUGACUGCCACAAUGGAUUUUUUUUAAAGCAAAAAUAUUCUGCCUACAAAAGACAUAUUUUGAAUUUGAAGACAUGGAAAGUUUGAAAGUAAAAGAAUGUCAAAGACAAAUGCUUGAAGAAAACUAAUGUAGCUUUACUAAUAUAAAACAAAGUAAACUUUAAAGGAAUAAAUAUUAAUAGAGAUAAAGAGAAACACUUCUCAUAAUAAAUAAAUGGUUAAUUUCAACAGGAAGAAGUAAUCAUAAUUUCAUAUGAGAUACGAACAUAGCCUUAACAUAUAUCAUGUAAAAGUAGACAGAUGUAAUUAAGGAAUAGACAAAUCCACAAUCACAUUUGAAAAUUUUAACAUUAUCAGUAACUGGUAGUAUAAGCACACACACAAAAAAGGAUAUGAAAUAUUUGAGUAAUGGAGUUAAAUUGACUUGACAAAAUUAAAACACUACACUCAACAAGAAGAGAAAGCACAUUCUUCUCAAGUACACAUUGAACAUUUCCUCCAGAUAAAUCACAUGCUGAGACAUACUCAAACUUCAAUAAAUAUCAAAGGAAUGAAAUUCUACAGAUUGUGUUCUUUGACUGUGGAACUAAGCCAAACAUCUAUCAUAUGUAGAUAAUCAUAUGACCCCCAACCACUUUGAAAUUUGGUAGGACAUCUAAAUAACUUAUGAAUAAAAAAAUGACAUGAGAAUUAGAAAAUAUUUUUAACUGAAUAAUAAUAAAAACACAACAUACCAAAACUUGCAGGAUCAUUACAACUAAAGGUUCUCAAAUGCAAAUCUAUUGCUUCAAAGUGAUUCAGAUCAUAACAUCAUUUGUUCUUGUCUAAAUCCUUUUUUGAUUUCCUAUAUCACCAACCCUAACAAAAUUAAAAGGCAGGAUAAGAGAAAAACCACUUACGAAAACAAAGAUAAGGUGGAAAACAAAACUAAGGAAAAAACAAAGAAAACUGUGGCUUGACAUAUUUGAAAGGUUUACAUCAUCUUGGUAUAGUAUAUUUGCUGUGUAAAUAAGUAUGUUAGAGAAGUUGAUGCAAUUUCUUAAUUUGAUUCUUGUAAUAAACAUAUAUAAUUUUAUUUUUAAACUGUAGGAUGUCAACUAGACAGUGAUUAGAGGAAAAUGUAUGGCCUUAAAUGUAUAUUUAGAAAUGAAAAAAAAAAAAAAAGACUAAAAAUUGGCUGGGCAUGGUGGCUCAUGCCUGUAAUCCCAGCACUUUGGGAAGCAGAGGCAGGCAGAUCACUUGAGGUUAGGAGUUUGAAACCAGCCUGGCCAACAGGGUGAAAUCCUGUGUCUACUAAAAAUAUAAAAAUUAGCCAGAUGUGGUGGUGCAUGCUUGUAAUCCCAGCUACUCGGGAGGCUGAACUGGGGAGGAGGUGAUUGAAGUGAGCCAAGGUUGCACCACUGCACUGGAGCCUAGGUGACAGAGCCAGACUCUGUCUCAAAAAAGAAACAAAAAAAGUUACGAAUUGAAAAUCAGGAAUCUAAAAGGAACAAAUUAGGAUCAAAUAAAGAAAAAGCAGAGAAGGAGUAAAGAGCAGAAAUCUGUGAAACAGAAAAAAACUUGCAAUGUGGAAAAUAAAUCCAAACAUUCAUUCUUUGAAAAAGAUAAAAAAAUUGAUAGGGCAGGUACAGUGGCUCAUGCCUGUAAUCCUAGCACUUUGGGAAGCUGAAGUGGGAGGAUCACUUGAACCAAGGCUAAGGCUGCAGUGAGCUGUGAUUGCUUCACUGUUUUUAAGCUUGGGUGACAGAGUGAGACCUUAUUAAAAAAAAUUUGAUAAAUGGUAGUAAGACUAAUUAAGAAAAACAAAGACAGAAUAUGAAUUACCAGUAUGAGGAAUGAAAAAAGCAAGCUAUGAAAACAGAUGCUACAACUAUUAAAAUGAUGAAAAGAUAGUAUAAAAAAUAUAUGCUAAUAAACUUGAAAAUUUGAAGUGAAUAAAUUCUUUGAGAAACCCCAUUUACCAAAACAAACAUAAGAAAAAGUACAAAAUGUACAUACACCUACACCUACUUUUAAAGCUUUCAUCCAUAAUUAGAAACCUCCCCUCAAAGAAAACACUAGAGGAGAAAAAAGGGAAAAUUCCUCAACUUUCAGGCCAGCAUAACUUUGAUAUCAAAAUGUAACAAGGCUAUUACAAAAAGAACUUACAGACUAAUGUUUCUAAUAAACAAUAGAAGUAGGGUGGGUGUGAUGGCUCAAGCCUGUUAUCCCAGCACUUUGGAAGGCUGAGCCAGGCAGAUCACCUGAGGUCAGGAGUUCGAGACCAGUCUGGCGAACAUAGUAAAAAUCUGUCUCUACUUAAUAAAAUUUUAAAAAUUACCUGGGCAUAGGGGCACAUGCCUGUAAUCCCAGCUACUCAGGAGGCUGAGGCAGGAGAAUCACUUGAACCUGGGAGGCGGAGGUUGCAGUGAGCCAAGAUGGCGCCACUGCACUCCAGCCUGGGUGACAGAGUGCGAUUCCAUCUCAAAAAAAAAUUUUUUUUUUAAUCCAACUCCAUUACUGAGGAAACCUCUUCAGAGCUCCCCUUGUCUGGAGGGCCCCUGACCCCAACUCUAGGAGGCCAGAGCUUGGAUCUCAGUUGCAUGAACUGGAGCUGGUUGCUUAAUCUCUUUGUGCCCACUUUUCUUCAUAUGUAGCAUGAGACCUUGUAACCUAACUCACUGGCUCAGAAGCUCAAAACAGGGUGAGAAGAACAUUCAAACACAUCGCCAGGAGAGUAGAAACCGGAUAUAUUUUCUGGAAAGUAAUUUGGAUAGAUAUAUUCAGAAAUAUUCAAAUGCUGUGAGCUGGUAAUUCCAUUACUAGAAAUUUAUUAUUGGCACAUAAUCAGAUAUACAGACAAAAAUGCAAGUAAAAAGAGGUUUGUGGCACUAUUAUUUUAAUAGCAAUAUUUUGGUAAACAUCUUGAAAGUCCAACAAUCAGGGCGUGACCACCAAAAGUGCGACACAUCUAUUCUGAUAAAUGCAGCCAUUACGAAUUGCUAUAGCAGAAUGUUUGGUAACAUUGAAAAAUGCCCAUGACUUUGUUAAAACAAAACAAAAAAAGAUACAGAACUCUUUGUGUGGUAUGGCUCCAAUUUUGUUUCAUGAAUUAUAUAUGUCUAUGGGCUUAGAAAAAAAAAACUAGUUGGAAAUUUACCGAAAAUCUUAUUGCUAUUGGUAUAAUUCUAUAUAUAUUUAAAAUUGACAUUUGAAAAAUUUUCCCAGGAUUCCUCCUAAGCAUGUGUUGCUUUGUAAUAAGAGAAGCAAAUAUUUUAAAAGUAACCCAAAUUAAAACUAUUUGUGGAAAACUGCUUUGAAAAUCAUUGUGCUACACAAAUGUGAGAUGUUGUAAGUACAUUUCUGGGGCUUUAGAAGCACAGGCAGAUUCCUGCCGAAAUCAAUACAUUUCACUGCAAGGAAGAUAAAUGGGUGAGUGGGUGGCCAUGCUGAGCACAGCUCCUAAGGCAUAUGCUCCCCCUGCCUGCUCCACCCCUGCAGCCCAGCAGUGACCAGUCCUGCCAGCUCUAAGCCCUGCUUGUUUUUCUUCUCUCCCUGGAUCCACCACCCAGUCCUCCUUCUUCUGGUAGGUAUGAACGAGUCUGUCUGGUCUUGUCUGCUGGGUGAAUCAUGCCUCAGAAAUGGGAAGUGGCCUUAAGGCCAGGGCCUGUCUCCAUGGAAGAGCUGGGACUAGCCUCAUAUGUGACGUCAGCUGAGUGCUGAGGGUUUCACUGCAGCUUCCGGGCUAGAUGGCAGGCAUGGGUGUGGCCAUGUUUCUGGGCUUCUGGGCCAGGUCCUGAUGGAAUGCUAAAGUGAUAUGACCAGGCACAGGUGAGGAGAAGGCUGCUUCUCCUGUGGUAUGAUUAGAGGGCAUCCUUAGUUCUCUUUGGCGCUGACUCACUCUCCUCCCAUCCUGAAAUCACAAUUAUAAGAACUCCUUUGCCAGGGAAGGCAACUGACAGGAGCAGACACGGAGGCUCCUGCUGAAAUGCACGUGGAUCACACAGGGCAGCAGCAUCUCUUAGUAUUAGCACCAGGCUCUGGAAACAGUCGAGCUUAGGUUUGGACCCCAACUCCUCUACUGCUUGGGGAUGUCCCUUGGUGUCUCUGAUGACAAAAAGCACUUACAUAUGCCAAGCAUAUGUCAGGUACAAUUCUAAGUGACCUUCUUCUAUUAACUCACAACAACCUUAUUAGGAAGAUACUCAUAAUUGCACCCAUAUUGCAGAGGAGGAAAUUGAGGCACAGGGUGGUGAAUUAACUUGCUCAAGGUCUCACAGGAUCAGCGCUAGGAUGAGUCCACACCCAGUGUGGCUCCCAUGCUUUUAAUGACCAGGUUUGGAAAUCUUAUUGGUAUCAGAUGGGAUAAUAAUAGAAAUUAUGACUUAUUAGGGGCUUACUCACUGUACUAAAUGCUAUAUAGGAAUUUUCCCAAUGCGAGGAUGGGGCAAGGACUAUUGUUAGGGGCUAACAUCACCCUGGCAGGACAGCUAACUGUAUACAAGGCCCUGUGUGAAGGGCUGGGCCUUCAGGAGAUUGCUCUGGCAUAAAGAGUUAAAAUGUGUCCAUAAUAACUGUGAUUCAUGGUAGAAUCAUAGCUUGAUGGAGCUGGAAGAAAGCUUAAAGGUCAUCUGGUUUAAACUCAUUUUUACUGAUGACGAGAACCAGAGUGUGUGUGGGAGGGUGGUGGGGAGGUUUACUCCCAGAGAGUUUUGGGAGAUUUAGUGAGAUGAUAACAACAGCCAGCACUUACUGAGUUUGGGUGCUGUGUAUGCAUGUGUGUUUAUCGCGGUCUACCUCCCAACCAGAUGAGGGUGGUGCUAUUGUUAUCCCAGGUUCACAGAUAGGCAAACGGAGAUGUUGAGUUGAGCAAGUACCUUGCCCAGCAGCACACAGCUAGCAAGUGGUGGAGUGGGAAUGCUUGCAGACUGGAUUCCAGAGCUCGGUGCUGACCCACUGUGCUUAACGCCAUCCCAGUUAUAGAAGGAGGUUAAAAGACCUGGGAAGAAGCUGGUCUAGGUGGAUAGGAAAGGGCUUUGGAGACUACAAAGUCUUGUACAGACACAAGUAAUUAUUAGAAGGAGGUAAAGGUCCCAAGAGAGGUAUAAAGGGAUAUAGAACUCACCGCAAAAUCAAGGAAGAUCUCCAGGAUGAGGUGGCAUUUGCUUUGGAUGUGGACCUGCGCUCCUGGGGUAGGAGUGAGGACUGUUCAGAGUAUGUGUGGGAUGGUGGUGGGGUUUCCUCCAGCCCUUCCCCAUUGGCAUGGAAUGGCUCAGUAAGUUAGUUAAUUGGCACCUUAGCCCAAGUGAAGUGACUAGGGCCACACAAAGCAUUGGGCACCUAAAGCUGGGU
Callithrix jacchus (white-tufted-ear marmoset) is the source of this 7780-nucleotide non-coding RNA. The record is from RefSeq and is a predicted model, not a curated record. Lineage: Eukaryota; Metazoa; Chordata; Mammalia; Primates; Cebidae.